This 433-nucleotide ribosomal RNA is filed under the name uncultured bacterium. RNAcentral's name for it is "partial 16S ribosomal RNA". It matches the Rfam family "Bacterial small subunit ribosomal RNA", at positions 29 to 507 of the family's 1533-position model. The record is from RNAcentral.
AACGAACGCUGGCGGCAGGCCUAACACAUGCAAGUCGAGCGAGGACUUCGGUCCUAGCGGCGGACGGGUGAGUAACGCGUGGGAACGUGCCCUUUGCUUCGGAAUAGCCCUGGGAAACUGGGAGUAAUACCGGAUGAGCCCUUUGGGGGAAAGAUUUAUCGUCGAAGGAUCGGCCCGCGUUGGAUUAGGUAGUUGGUGGGGUAAUGGCCUACCAAGCCGACGAUCCAUAGCUGGUUUGAGAGGAUGAUCAGCCACACUGGGACUGAGACACGGCCCAGACUCCUACGGGAGGCAGCAGUGGGGAAUCUUAGACAAUGGGGGAAACCCUGAUCUAGCCAUGCCGCGUGAGAGAUGAAGGCCUUAGGGUUGUAAAGCUCUUUCAGCUGGGAAGAUAAUGACGGUACCAGCAGAAGAAGCCCCGGCUAACUCCGUG